AUGGGAAAAGAUAAUUAUAAUUGAUCAGAGUUUUCUAAGAUAAUAUGAAACUUUUCCAUAUAAAAAAAUUGUUAAUGAUACAUUAAUAAAAUAUAACAGCAUAUUAGUAAUCUAUUAUUUUGUGGUCACACUACAUGGUAAUAAUUUCCUACCUAUCUGCUUACCUACCUACCUACCAGAUUAUAUCCUGACAGUUUCUUUUUAUUCUAACAAAUAAAUGUACACUGGCAACACUUCUUGAUAUACUACAAUAAAUAUCUGUUACAUUAUAUUUGUACAUUACCAUAUUUCUUAAAUGUUACUUCAACCAAUCAAUCUUAUCAUUCUAGAGUACAAUCCUUAGCAAAAUAAUUAUCACUUAAUAAUAUACAUCCCUAAAUCUUCAUACUCAUACCAUCUCACACAAAAUCUCUGCCACUAACCAACAUUCUCUGUCACAGACUUUCUAAGAUUCAUCUAACCUUAAACCACCUUCAAACAGAAUUCAUGAACCAAGUAGCAGAAGUUUCAAGAAUCUACAAUUUCCUCUAUAUCCAGACUGAGCCGACUGGAUCAAACUUCAAUGAAGUUGAAGGUGAUUGAAUGCGGGUGAUCGAGCGUGCGCGCACUCAUGCUUGCAGGAUAUCCGCGGAUGCAGGAGGCGGCUGACCGGGAGGAUGACGGCAAGCGCGCAAGAGCGAGAAGUCGGUAACUUAACUGGCCUAAAUGGGUUUAACUCGAUGUGAUUUUGCUGGCGAACCACUAAAUUGAACGAAUACGAACUAAACUGAACUCAACUAAGCUAAUCAUAUCACAUUACUAGCGUUAUUAGCCGAGAGACGAUAUAAGUGAAGGUCCGGUGGUGCCGGGCUGCAGUAACGGGUCGCCUCCUGCACUGACCCUCUGCACGACUUUCUUUUCGACCCCUUUUUCUCGUUCACACUAUCAAGAAUUUCGUGUCCUGUGUCAUCUAUCCGUAUCUAAAUCAUAGAAACGCGUUCAUUCUGCAUAAUUGCUACGUUUGUCGUUGUUUACGAAAUCAUUUUUUAGGUUAGUUUUGUGAAACUUUGUGGAAGGUGAAGUCUCUCGGAAGAAACGGACGAUUCUCGAUGUACACGAGGUCUGACGGACGAUGUUGCCCGAUCCUGGCCGAGCCGUAACGCUACCCUGACUGUGCAACAGGAAACACGUGCGCCCGGUGAAAGUGACAGCUCGGAGCGCGCCAAAUUUGAAACGAAGAUCGAAGAAUCGCGUUGUUCGUUGGGGGAUAUCAGCGGUUAAAGAAAGAGAAGAUAGACUAAUUAUCUCCCACCAACCACUUCGAAGCGACAAGAGAGGGGAAUAGACCUGGAGGAAAGAUAAGAACGAAAUGGACACGAUACGUUCCGUCCCCACCACUUCUACCAGCAGAAUAGAAGGAGUUUCUCGGCUCCACCUCUUCCCCUUCCGAUAAUACCCUCCUUCAACGGUGGAUGACGAUUUGACUCUGACUUACUGUACUUAGGUACCUCGCUCUUCAACCCCCUAAGACUUCUGUUUACAUCUCUCAUACACCCAGAAAGUAAUUUCCCAACAACCCUCUGUAGUCUUACAAUUUUUACAAAAUUGAUCUAUAAUUCCUAAAGUUAAUUCACAAUUCAAAUACACAACACUAUUAUUUUUCGAUAUUAAUUAACGAACGUAGUAGAGCAAUUUUUCCAAAAUAUCUUCCCUUAUACUACAAUCGAAAUUUUAUCGAAAUUAGAAUCUUAGAAUCUUAGAAUGUUUAUCUCAAGUUAGAAACCUCUCUCUACUUUCCAAUAUUCACGUUUUUCUAACUUUGUUCCUACACUAUAUUUUAUUCUUAUAUUAUAUAUUUUACGGUAUGCGAUAUUUUAUUUUCAUAUUUAUUUUUUAGAUCAGAACAGACUAAUAUAAUCCACGUAUAUACAUAUAUAAUGUACACAAGCUUUUACAUAUAUGGAGAACGCAACGAGCUGAUAACAAGCAGACAAAGGGAAACAGUCUCUCUUGUUGAGAAGUAUAUUUAGAUCGAACGACACAGGGAAACGAGGUGAAGAGGAGGGUUUGGAAGCGACUUUUUGCACGCGAGCCGCUCUUUUUUACGUCGUAGGUAUGCCGACCGGAUAGUAUUGCCGUGUGGCCAGGCUGGCAGGGCCGACCAAUUGAGCCUGUUAACGUCAAUUGAGCUGAAUUAGUUCAAUUGGACGUAAUUGCGCGAAGGCGACGGGGAACCUUCGCUCUCUGUUCGCCGGCCAUGCUCGCGUUUCUCUUUUCGCGCUGAUAUCGCCGUAUUCACAGGACUUCCUUCAAAGUACAGUCCAAACAUAAGUUCGAUAUAAUCGAGGAAUGUUGUACAAGACUGAUUUCGUACAUAGAUUGUUUAAAACACUGGUUUUAUAUGGGGAUAAUAUUUGGGCAUGCAGUCUUUUUGGGACGUAGUUUUCUGACUAUUUUAGGUAAAACGUUAUUUUAUCUAGAUUUACCAUGUUUCUCUAGAGCCGUUAAAUUGUAAUCUCGUAGAAUUAGUUGUUUAAUUUCUCACUAAAUGAUCUCAGAUAAAAUCGAAUAUCAAAGAUAAAAUAGGUUUGAUGCUGUUUAACGCGAUUCUUAUGUCGAAGCGUUUAAACUUCAUAAUUAUAGUAGAUAAUUCUUGGCUGCAAUAUUAACGCGGUUAUGAUAUGUAUGGCUAUAAUAUCUACUAUAUUAUCAAACAACAAAUCAAACAUACAAAGCAAUAGGUAUGAUCUCAGAUAAAAUCGAGUAUCAAAGAUAAAAUAGGUUUGAUGCUGUUUAACGCGAUUCUUAUGUCGAAGCGUUUAAACUUCAUAAUUAUAGUAGAUAAUUCUUGGCUGCAAUAUUAACGCGGUUAUGAUAUGUAUGGCUAUAAUAUCUACUAUAUUAUCAAACAACAAAUCAAACAUACAAAGCAAUAGGUAUCUUCAUCAUAAAAAUGAUAAAAAAUUCACUACUUGACAAACCAUUUCAUCGCUUCUACAAAAAUGAACGAAAAAUGAAAAAAAGCAGCCCUUAUAUCGGUCAGAAAAAUUCCACCCUCUUUAUGUUCUCCGAGCUUCCCCCGAGUAAAACAAAUUACAACGUCACCGGUACCAGGAUAAUGGCCAUCAGAGGAGGCAAUUAUGACAGCCGUGACCCAAGAAUUAACGUGCCCACAUGAGCGUCGCGAGAUUCCCGAUCGAGAUCACAAUAAACGUUCCUUUCUCGCUUUUUUCCCUUUUUUUUCACCCCCAUGGAACGUUGGCGAACAAGCAACAGUCAUUGAUAUUAGUCACUUUAUAUCAUGCUGGUAUAUUUCACGGGUCAAAGCGUAGAGAGAUGGCCAACGACGAAGACUUUUUUUAUAUGUGCUAUACGUAUUUUGAGGAGAAAUACUGCUGCUCGAUCCCCACCCUCGAUCGGACACAAAGAGCUUGGAUAUUUUCGAUAUACGCGCACUGUCUAUUCAAUGGUUGCUGCGAUUCUACCUGAGAUUCGAUUCAUACAGAAGAUGAAUUCCUCGUUUGAAAUAUGCUGGAUGCGACCACGUGGCUUGAGUGCAUGCAACAGGUGUAUAUCGCUCGUAGGAGGCUACCUGUUGAGUAGGUAUAAAUUAAGGCUUUCAAUAACUAUAUUGUCCAGAAGUUAUACCCGUUAACUCUGUAAAUUAAAAGGAAGAAAAGACGUGCGUUGGAUGUUGCAAUUUUUAUGAAAUUUCUUCCGAAUUUUUCGCUUAUUUAUCUCAUCUUCUCGCAAUACCGGGAUAAGCCCACACUGGAGGCAGAUGUAAUUUGUUUCUUCGAGAAGUACAGUGGUAAUCACGUGGCCGAGCAAUGAAAUGUAGAUCAGUCAGAGAUGUAGAGUUAAUGAAGUAGAGUAACGCGCGAAGAAUGUAAAAUACAGCUGAAUUAGGAUGUCGUGGAAUUGAAGAGAGUAGGAUUUGAGAAUUGAAGGGUGUAGAACGAGCUAAAUUAGAUUAUUGAUGAAAGGAUUGAAGAUAUUUACAAGGGUCGAAUUUGAGAGUUAAGGGGAGUGAAAUGUACACUGUAGAAUGAGAUUGAUUAGAUUAUUAAUUAUGAAACGUGAAGGUUGAGGGAGCGUACGAUAUAUGCUAUGUAAUAUACGCUAUAGAAUGUAUAUCGCGGAAUGUUAUAGAAUGUAUUAAAUUAAAUUGUUGAUAAUCUUAUUUGUUAGAA
Long non-coding RNA from Bombus huntii, 4172 nucleotides. RefSeq lists it as uncharacterized. NCBI's taxonomy places the organism in Eukaryota, Metazoa, Arthropoda, Insecta, Hymenoptera, Apidae. The transcript has 3 exons. The record is from RefSeq and is a predicted model, not a curated record.